Long non-coding RNA from Populus nigra (black poplar), 1378 nucleotides. RefSeq lists it as uncharacterized. The transcript is spliced from 3 exons. The record is from RefSeq and is a predicted model, not a curated record. NCBI's taxonomy places the organism in Eukaryota, Viridiplantae, Streptophyta, Magnoliopsida, Malpighiales, Salicaceae.
GCCUUUUUAUCGCGGGAAAUGGUAGAAGAAGCGGCAGCAGCAACCAGAGAGAUCAAUCAACUGAUACGGAAACGGUAAUCAUACAGCCAGACCUCGAUCCACCGUCCUCGUGCUCAGAUACCCGAUAGCACUGAACCGAAAUUCAAUUUGAACCAGAGCGAGAUCUUCAAGGCACUAGAAAUCGUCGAGAGAGACGCUCUAGCCAUUGCCUAUAGCUUCACUUCUCUCUUCUCUUCACUUCUUCUGGCUCUCUCUGAGGCUGCUAGUACAUCAGUUGAUCACAUGCAAUGUUUUGGUGAUGCUACUGGUCGUCUUCAAGAAUAUGGUAACAUAGGCGGGUCCUCCUUCUUCGGGACCCACAUGGGCUCUACACGAGGCUUUGCAUUCAGGAUAGCGACUCUUUCCACAGAUCAGAAAUUUCUAAUAGGGCGCUGUAACACUAUGGUUUCCCUUUGCUUCUCGCCGCGUCAGUAUUCACGAGAACUAUCUGUACAACUUCCUUCGCAUCACACACUGGUUUUACUUGGGGAGUUUUGAAUCUGGUAAGAAGGCAGCUCGUUUAAAAUUAUGGGAAGAUUGUUUUCUUUAAAUCGAUCAUCUGGCUCCCUCACCGAGCACAACUGUUCAUAAGAUCAUUCAUAGGCAUUCUGAUUUCCAUAAGCAUGAACGAUUGUUAAGAUUAGUUCAAUUGGUAACUAUUUUCCCCUAGUAAUUGAAUUGAUAUUUCUUGACAUUCCUAAUUGGCUCUUGAGAAAAGGCAGCCGUUUCUGAACAAUAGGAGUAUUGUGUCAGUCUUUAAGAACCAUUGCCCUGGUUUUCAGCUACAAGAGCUUAGAGUGACGAGGUUGAUGCUUUGUCAUCAUCGUGACAUCAAGUAUUGUUCAUUUCUUUUCAGAGAUGAAUCAGCUUGAGUAGCCUUCACUGACCGCAUGAUGAGUUGGUUUGCUUGAUCGAUGAGUAGACUCGAGCCAAUUAUCGGAGAGAUGAUGGAGGCACUCUUAGCUGCGUUAAUUCUAGUUUCUGGGAUUCAGGAUGGCCACUUGGUACAGGCCCAUGUAAGAGAGAAGCACGAUGCCUUCUUCAGUAGGGCGAAAUUAUCGGUGAGGGGACCAUGCCCAUGAAGGUAGCUGGGAGCACAACAGGCCUGGUUCUGGCUAGAGUUUGCAAAUGAUUGUGCUAAAAAGUAAUAGCCUUUUUUCGAAACCUUUGUUCCCCUUUUGUCCUGGACAAACGAGGAACACGUUAGUUGUAUUUGUUUUCACUCCAUAAGAGUUCGAAUAUGUUUCAUAGUAACCUCCACCUAGGCCAUCUACCACGCUGCACAAGGGAAAUGAACGAGCUAUUAUAGCUUAAUUCGAUACUAGAUAGAAUUUUUAUU